Molecule: ribosomal RNA, 468 nt
Filed under: uncultured bacterium
Lineage: Bacteria
Description: partial 16S ribosomal RNA
Rfam family: Bacterial small subunit ribosomal RNA
Source: RNAcentral
GACGAACGCUGGCGGCGUGCUUAACACAUGCAAGUCGAACGGAAAGGCCCUGCUUUUGUGGGGUGCUCGAGUGGCGAACGGGUGAGUAACACGUGAGUAACCUGCCCUUGACUUUGGGAUAACUUCAGGAAACUGGGGCUAAUACCGGAUAGGAGCUCCUGCUGCAUGGUGGGGGUUGGAAAGUUUCGGCGGUUGGGGAUGGACUCGCGGCUUAUCAGCUUGUUGGUGGGGUAGUUGCUUACCAAGGCUUUGACGGGUAGCCGGCCUGAGAGGGUGACCGGACACAUUGGGACUGAGAGACGGCCCAGACUGCUACGGGAGGCAGCAGUGGGGGAUAUUGCACAAUGGGAGGAAGCCUGAUGCAGCAACGCCGCGUGCGGGAUGACGGCCUUCGGGUUGUAAACCGCUUUCGCCUGUGACGAAGCGUGAGUGACGGUAAUGGGUAAAGAAGCACCGGCUAACUACGUG